AGCGUAGACGGUGUGGCAAGUCUGAUGUGAAAGGCAUGGGCUCAACCUGUGGACUGCAUUGGAAACUGUCAUACUUGAGUGCAGAAGAGGAGAGUGGAAUUCCAUGUGUAGCGGUGAAAUGCGUAGAUAUUAGGAGGAACACCAGCGGCGAAGGCGGCUUACUGGACGGUAACUGACGUUGAGGCUCGAAAGGCGUGGGAGCAAACA
This 207-nucleotide ribosomal RNA is filed under the name uncultured bacterium. RNAcentral describes it as "partial 16S ribosomal RNA". It matches the Rfam family "Bacterial small subunit ribosomal RNA", at positions 568 to 774 of the family's 1533-position model. The record is from RNAcentral.